Molecule: long non-coding RNA, 209 nt
Filed under: Carica papaya (papaya)
Lineage: Eukaryota; Viridiplantae; Streptophyta; Magnoliopsida; Brassicales; Caricaceae
Description: long non-coding RNA (CPAP_LNC005215)
Source: RNAcentral
AUUCUCUUGUCCGUUGGAUCUCUCUUAUUCGGAGAUUGAAUAUGAUCGUUCGAUCACGCCUGAAGAGAAAAUGCAUCUAGAUCGUUCGCGCAUGCGAGAUGCGAUCUGGGCUAUCGGAUCGCCUAGGCACGCGGAUCGCCUGCGUGGCUCCUACGUGGAGCCGGUGUCAGCGUGUCCGCCACGCAACGCGUUCUGACUCGCGGUGCUGU